UCCUACGGGGGGCAGCAGUAGGGAAUUUUCGUCAAUGGGCGCAAGCCUGAACGAGCAAUGCCGCGUGAACGAGGAAGGUCUUCGGAUCGUAAAGUUCUGUUGAAGGGGAAAAAGAGCGGAGAGAGGAAAUGGUCUCCGGUUGAUAUUACCCUUCGAGAAAGUCACGGCUAACUACGUGCCAGCAGCCGCGGUAAUACGUAGGUGGCGAGCGUUAUCCGGAAUGAUUGGGCGUAAAGGGUGCGUAGGCGGCCUGCUAAGUCUGGAGUGAAAGGUACCGGCUCAACCGGUACAGGCUCUGGAAACUG
Molecule: ribosomal RNA, 305 nt
Filed under: uncultured bacterium
Lineage: Bacteria
Description: bacterial SSU rRNA
Rfam family: Bacterial small subunit ribosomal RNA
Source: RNAcentral